GAUGAACGCUGGCGGCGUGCAUAACACAUUCAAGUCGAACGGACAAGGGGACUUCGGUCCCUGCGUUAGUGGCGGACGGGUGAGUAACGCGUGAGCAACCUGCCCCUGUGUGUGGAACAACGUUUGGAAACGAACGCUAAUACCGCAUAAUGCAUAGGAAUCGCAUGAUUUUUAUGCCAAAGAUUUAUUGCACAGGGAUGGGCUCGCGUCUGAUUAGCUAGUUGGUGGGGUAACGGCCCACCAAGGCGACGAUCAGUAGCCGGUCUGAGAGGGUGAUCGGCCACAUUGGAACUGAGACACGGUCCAAACUCCUACGGGAGGCAGCAGUGGGGAAUAUUGCACAAUGGGCGAAAGCCUGAUGCAGCAACGCCGCGUGAAGGAAGAAGGUCUUCGGAUCGUAAACUUCUGUCCUAAGUGAAGAGAAGAAGACGGUAGC
RNAcentral lists this ribosomal RNA (436 nucleotides) under uncultured bacterium. RNAcentral describes it as "bacterial SSU rRNA". It matches the Rfam family "Bacterial small subunit ribosomal RNA", at positions 28 to 479 of the family's 1533-position model. The record is from RNAcentral.